CGAGCUUGUCUGGUGAAAACAAGUACUGCUAAUUCUUUGUUCCCAUGGUUCAACUCCAUGGCUAGCUCGA
RNAcentral lists this transfer RNA (70 nucleotides) under Fejervarya cancrivora (crab-eating frog). Its description in RNAcentral is "tRNA-Ser". The record is from RNAcentral. Lineage: Eukaryota; Metazoa; Chordata; Amphibia; Anura; Dicroglossidae.